UAGGUAGCAGAGAUGUAUAUGUAUGUAUACAGACUAUAAUAAUAUGGAAGGGGGGGUUAGCUGUUGUAUUGCGACACACAAACCUUGAGCAGCAGCUGGUACUUCAUGAUCCUCUGUACCGGCUUGAUGAGCAGGUCUGUGAUUUGCUGCCGGUGUCCCAACCGCUGCUUCAGGUCCUACAAAGUCAGACGUUACUUGAUGGAUGGAAAUUAUGUUUGUAAUAUCUGAAUUAAAUGUUCACAAUAACGGCCGCGUACCUCGAAGUAGGUGUCGAUGUACUCUGAAACAAUGUGCUCUGACUUGGGCUUAUUCUGGCAGUACACUACGUACAUGUUUAGUCUCCGUUCCUGGAUAUGAAGACCACACACAUUUACAACACGAUCAAAUGUACACAAGUAAAGCAAGAGGUUAGAAAAUUCAAUGCAGACCUGUUUGAGAAAGAGUGGUCCCAGUCUGUCAGGGUCCUCCAGACAUUUCUCCAACUCCCCGAGGAAGAAACUGAGCGAGACAGGAAGAGGAAAGAGAAGGUGAGCUACUGUGAAUCUGAUCUGAGGAAACGAUCAACUGAAACUGCUCCACGUACUCUUUGUGCCAGUCGUAGAUCUGGUGGAUGUUGCCAAACACAAUUUUGUCUUUCCCUUUCAUAUCGUCAGGGACGCCCUCCUCCUUCAUCUGGCACAUGUAGCCCUUAUGAUGGACACACACAGUAAUACACAUUUACAAGGACUUAAGUGUGCUGGAAAACCGUAACAUUUUCAGAUCUAUUGAACACUUCAAUGAUGUACAACUAAUAACUAACUGGACAGUUCCACUGCUCAUGAAGUGUCAACUCACCUCCACCACCAGGCCAAGAUCUCGGACAUAAUCUCUCUCCCCCUCCACCAACUCCAGCAGAAUGACGCUGGUCCUGCGUUCAUCCAUCUCUUCGAUGGGGGAGGAGGAGGAGAGGAGGGAGUUGUCGGAGGGGUUGAAGGAGGGAGAGCUGCUGUCGCCCUGUUCCACAGACAGAGAGCUGGGUCGGUCCUCCAGGGCCUGCACCAGGAGAACCAGCUCCUCGAUGGCGCUCACCAACUCAGCGGCACUGGGCGUCUCCGAACUGGACGGACGCACCGACAGGCGAGAGGAGGUCUGAGACAAAAAAAACAAGCAUAAGAACUCAAGCCCUUUCUGCGAACAGUAAUUCUGCUCUUUGAAAAACUCUAAAGUAAAGUAACCUGGCUAUAGUUUAGAGUGAAUACAAGCUUCACUUAACCAUUUAAAGAGGUCAAUGAAUUAAAUCAGCUAUUUAAAAUAUAAAAAUUCUUCAUCUCUGUGACAGACGAUAAAUACUCUUCU
This is a long non-coding RNA of Scophthalmus maximus (turbot), 1335 nucleotides long. RefSeq lists it as uncharacterized. Lineage: Eukaryota; Metazoa; Chordata; Actinopteri; Pleuronectiformes; Scophthalmidae. The transcript has 3 exons. The record is from RefSeq and is a predicted model, not a curated record.